Molecule: ribosomal RNA, 396 nt
Filed under: Bacillus wiedmannii
Lineage: Bacteria; Bacillati; Bacillota; Bacilli; Caryophanales; Bacillaceae
Description: bacterial SSU rRNA
Rfam family: Bacterial small subunit ribosomal RNA
Source: RNAcentral
UUGCUCUUAUGAAGUUAGCGGCGGACGGGUGAGUAACACGUGGGUAACCUGCCCAUAAGACUGGGAUAACUCCGGGAAACCGGGGCUAAUACCGGAUAAUAUUUUGAACUGCAUGGUUCGAAAUUGAAAGGCGGCUUCGGCUGUCACUUAUGGAUGGACCCGCGUCGCAUUAGCUAGUUGGUGAGGUAACGGCUCACCAAGGCAACGAUGCGUAGCCGACCUGAGAGGGUGAUCGGCCACACUGGGACUGAGACACGGCCCAGACUCCUACGGGAGGCAGCAGUAGGGAAUCUUCCGCAAUGGACGAAAGUCUGACGGAACAACGCCGCGUGAGUGAUGAAGGCUUUCGGGUCGUAAAACUCUGUUGGUAGGGAAGAACAACUGGCAAUUUUUUUU